RNAcentral lists this unclassified non-coding RNA (200 nucleotides) under Ascomycota sp. Its description in RNAcentral is "partial internal transcribed spacer 2". Lineage: Eukaryota; Fungi; Ascomycota. The record is from RNAcentral.
UUAAGUUCAGCGGGUAUCCCUACCUGAUCCGAGGUCAAAACGGAGAUGCAAUUGACGUGUGCGGCAGCCCUGCGGACCGGCCCUUGUGCGAACAAUCUGCUACGCGCAAGACCAGCCGCCGGACGCCGAUGCUUUUCAGGCGAGUCCCGCCGCGGAGCGCGGGGAACAGGCGCCCAUCACCAAGCUGUGCUUGAGAGGUG